RNAcentral lists this non-coding RNA (107 nucleotides) under Thermodesulfovibrio sp. Its description in RNAcentral is "TPP sequence". It matches the Rfam family "TPP riboswitch aptamer (THI element)". Rfam says of the family: Vitamin B(1) in its active form thiamin pyrophosphate (TPP) is an essential coenzyme that is synthesised by coupling of pyrimidine and thiazole moieties in bacteria. The previously detected thiamin-regulatory element, thi box was extended, resulting in a new, highly conserved RNA secondary structure, the THI element, which is widely distributed in eubacteria and also occurs in some archaea. Analysis of operon structures identified a large number of new candidate thiamin-regulated genes, mostly transporters, in various prokaryotic organisms. Lineage: Bacteria; Pseudomonadati; Nitrospirota; Thermodesulfovibrionia; Thermodesulfovibrionales; Thermodesulfovibrionaceae. The record is from RNAcentral.
AUUAAUCCCUGGGGGAGGUCAUAAAGGGCCUGAGAGUUCCCAUUAAGGGAAGACCCCUUGAACCUGAACCGGGUAAUGCCGGCGUAGGGAAUGGGAGAGGCUGAAUA